GACGAACGCUGGCGGCGUGCUUAACACAUGCAAGUCGAACGGAAAGGCCCUGCUUUUGUGGGGUGCUCGAGUGGCGAACGGGUGAGUAACACGUGAGUAACCUGCCCUUGACUUUGGGAUAACUUCAGGAAACUGGGGAUAAUACCCGAUAGGAGCUCCUGCUGCAUGGGGUGGGUUGGAAAGAUUCGGCGGUUGGGGAUGGUCUCGCGGCUUAUCAGCUUGUUGGUGGGGUAGUUGCUUACCACGGCUUUGACGGGUAGCCGGCCUGGGAGGUGUACCGGCCACCUUGGGCCUGCGAUACGGCGCAGACUGCUACGGGCGGCAGCAGUGGGAAACAUUGCGCAACGGGCGCAAGCCUGAUGCAGCAACCCCGCGUGCGGGAUGCCGGCUUUCGGGUUGUAAACCGCUUUCGCCUGUGACGAAGAGUGAGUGACGGUAAUGGGUCAAGAAGCCCCGGCUAACUACGUG
RNAcentral lists this ribosomal RNA (468 nucleotides) under uncultured bacterium. Its description in RNAcentral is "partial 16S ribosomal RNA". It matches the Rfam family "Bacterial small subunit ribosomal RNA", at positions 28 to 507 of the family's 1533-position model. The record is from RNAcentral.